GACGAACGCUGGCGGCGUGCUUAACACAUGCAAGUCGAACGGAAAGGCCCUGCUUUUGUAGGGUGCUCGAGUGGCGAACGGGUGAGUAACACGUGAGUAACCUGCCCUUGCCUUUGGGAUACCUUCAGGAAACUGGGGCUAAUACCGGAUAGGAGCUCCUGCUGCAUGGUGUGGGUUGGACAGUUUCGGCGGUUGGGGAUGGACUCGCGGCUUAUCAGCUUGUUGGUGGGGUAGUGGCUUACCAAGGCUUUGACGGGUAGCCGGCCUGAGAGGGUGACCGGCCACAUUGGGACUGGGAAACCGCCCAGACUCCACCGCGAUGCAGCAGUGUAGAGUUUGGCACAAGGUGCGGAUGCCUGUAGCAGCAACGUCGAGGGUGGGAUGAGGGCCAUCGGCUUGUAAACCGCUUUCGCCUUAGACGUAGCGAGAGUGACGGUAAUAGGUAAAGAUGCACCCGCUGACUAUAUU
RNAcentral lists this ribosomal RNA (468 nucleotides) under uncultured bacterium. Its description in RNAcentral is "partial 16S ribosomal RNA". It matches the Rfam family "Bacterial small subunit ribosomal RNA", at positions 28 to 507 of the family's 1533-position model. The record is from RNAcentral.